AUGCUAGCCACAAGGAGGGUAUUUCUCCGGGGGCGGGGUGCAGUGGGGAGACUGAUGCUAGUCCUGUUGUGUUUUGUUUGGCUGUCCAUGUGUAUUUUCACCCCGGCCUCUAGUCCCCUCCACCACCCUCCCCCCACUUCAAUGCCCAGGAACUUGUGGGGAGCAAGGGUCGCCAAUGGCAGAGGGGCUGGGGCUGGGACUCUGGGCUCCUCCGCUUCUCUUGCCUCUCCCCCUCCCCUUCCUCCCAGCUGCUCUGUCACUGGCUCUGAUGGGCAUUUGCCUGGCUGUGUUGCUUCUCUAUCUGUAUCUAGCUGCAGUGAUCCUUUAGCUGGUUGGCUCAGAAAAAUGUGCUUUAGGCGCCCUGUGGUACUGGGCACUGAGGGAAUCCAGCCUUCCCCUUUUUUGGUGUGUUCUCCCCAUACUUUCCAGAUUCUUACUGUUAUGGCUCCCAGUGGGGUGUUGGUGAUCCAUGUGACGCAGGGCCUCAGUCAGUAUCCAGCCACGUGUACGGGAGAGGAUAACUUGUGCCUGCCCUGCCCGCUGCUGUGGAGGCCUCUGCCCGUGGGUUGUGGGACUUCCCGGGGGGAGUUCGGAAGGGGUUGGGCACAAAGGAGAGUGUCCAACUUGGGAGGGCAGGAAGCAAAGAAACUGGACAGGAAGUGGGCUUGGGGAACGGAAGUUUAUCUCGGAUACCUAAGGCUGGGUCUCUUAACAAGGAGACUCAAAAAGGGACCCUGCUUCCAAUUUCCCUCUUCCAUUCUCAGAGCAAGUACAGGGCUUAGAAGAAUGCCCUUGGUCUGUUGGUCCAGUGGUUGUCUGUCAUCCAUUUAAGUGUUCCCACUUUCAAGUGACAAUCCUCUCCUUGGCCCUGCCAUGGGCAGAGCAUGUCUGGCAUACCAGCCUGACUUUUAUGCCCUAAUCUUGAGUUGAGGAAAUAUAUGCACAGGAGUCAAAAGAGAUGUCUUUAUAUCUGACUGUACAUAAAUGAAGUUUUUUUUUUUUUCUUUUUGGUGCAAUAAAGUUUGUUUUGGCAGAAGGAGGAAGCGACUA
RNAcentral lists this long non-coding RNA (1050 nucleotides) under Ursus maritimus (polar bear). RNAcentral describes it as "lncRNA (ENSUMAG00000015730.1)". The record is from RNAcentral. Lineage: Eukaryota; Metazoa; Chordata; Mammalia; Carnivora; Ursidae.